CCUACGGGAGGCAGCAGUAAGGAAUAUUGGGCAAUGGACGCAAGUCUGACCCAGCCAUGCCGCGUGGAGGAUGAAGGUCCUCUGGAUUGUAAACUUCUUUUAUUUGGGAAGAAACUCCCGAUUUCCAUCGGGAUUGACGGUACCAGAUGAAUAAGCACCGGCUAACUCCGUGCCAGCAGCCGCGGUAAUA
RNAcentral lists this ribosomal RNA (190 nucleotides) under uncultured bacterium. RNAcentral's name for it is "partial 16S ribosomal RNA". It matches the Rfam family "Bacterial small subunit ribosomal RNA", at positions 338 to 525 of the family's 1533-position model. The record is from RNAcentral.